GAUGAAGAACGCAGCGAAAUGCGAUACUUGGUGUGAAUUGCAGAAUCCCGUGAACCAUCGAGUCUUUGAACGCAAGUUGCGCCCGAAGCCAUUAGGCCGAGGGCACGCCUGCCUGGGCGUCACACGUCGUUGCCCCCCCAUCUACUCCUUCGGGAUUGCGGGGGGCGGAUGAUGGCCUCCCGUGCGCCUCGCCGCGCGGUUGGCAUAAAUGCCAAGUCCUCGGCGACGCACGCCACGACAAUCGGUGGUUGCGAAACCUCGGUUGCCCGUCGUGUGCGGUCGUCGCGCAUCGAGGGCUCGAAAAAAUUGCCGGGUUCCGGCUCGGCUUUCAACGCGACCCCAGGUCAGGCGGGGUUACCCGCUGAAUUUAAGCAUAUCAAGCGGAGGA
RNAcentral lists this unclassified non-coding RNA (388 nucleotides) under soil metagenome. RNAcentral describes it as "partial contains 5.8S ribosomal RNA, internal transcribed spacer 2, and large subunit ribosomal RNA". The stretch from base 1 to 122 matches the Rfam family "5.8S ribosomal RNA", at positions 35 to 154 of the family's 154-position model. The record is from RNAcentral.